Molecule: long non-coding RNA, 286 nt
Organism: Gossypium arboreum
Lineage: Eukaryota; Viridiplantae; Streptophyta; Magnoliopsida; Malvales; Malvaceae
Exons: 2
Source: RefSeq, a predicted model, not a curated record
AUCAUUUUUCUCUUCUCCUCCACCGAAAAUGGCAGAAAAGAAAGGGGUUUUGAAGCUCUGAAAUAUCAGCCACUUACAUCCCUUGCUAAUGAUGAAAAUCGAGAUUUGGACCUAGAACGGAAAGAAAUCGAUUAAGGGAUAAUUACGUCUUUUUUUACCUUUGUGGUAUCGAGGUAAGUUCAUAUGUAAAUGUUGGUAACAUAGUUAUUAUUUUAAAUGUUUUGAUGUUAUUUAAAUGAUAUGAUAAUUAUUAUGAGAUAUUAUACUUGUGAUAAUUGUUUGAUAA